Molecule: transfer RNA, 72 nt
Filed under: Heliconius melpomene (postman butterfly)
Lineage: Eukaryota; Metazoa; Arthropoda; Insecta; Lepidoptera; Nymphalidae
Description: tRNA HMEL008416
Rfam family: tRNA
About the family: Transfer RNA (tRNA) molecules are approximately 80 nucleotides in length. Their secondary structure includes four short double-helical elements and three loops (D, anti-codon, and T loops). Further hydrogen bonds mediate the characteristic L-shaped molecular structure. tRNAs have two regions of fundamental functional importance: the anti-codon, which is responsible for specific mRNA codon recognition, and the 3' end, to which the tRNAs corresponding amino acid is attached (by aminoacyl-tRNA synthetases). tRNAs cope with the degeneracy of the genetic code in two manners: having more than one tRNA (with a specific anti-codon) for a particular amino acid; and 'wobble' base-pairing, i.e. permitting non-standard base-pairing at the 3rd anti-codon position.
Source: RNAcentral
GAACGCAUGGGUAAGUGGUCAGAGCGCUUGGACGAUUUCCAAGAGGCGCGGGUUCAAGUCUCGCUACGUUCA